AUGAACGCUGGCGACAUGGAUAAGGCAUGCAAGUCGAGUGGGUUUAGACCCACGGCGAACGAGGUAGUAACACGUAGGUACGUACCCCAAAGUCGAGCAUAACUAGCCGAAAGGUUAGACAAUUCUCGAUAGUAUCCUUAAGCGAAAGCCUAAGGAUUAAAGAUUUAUCGCUUUGGGAGCGGCCUGCGGAAUAUCAGCUAGUUGGUAAGGUAAUGGCUUACCAAGGCUAUGACGUUUAGGGGAGCUGAGAGGCUGACCCCCACCGAUGGUACUGAGACACGGACCAUACACCUACGGGUGGCUGCAGUCGAGAAUCUUCCGCAAUGGACGAAAGUCUGACGGAGCGAUGUCGCGUGAUGGAUGAAGUUCUUAGGAACGUAAACAUCUUUUAUCGGGGAGAAAAUUUUGAUAGUACCCGAUGAAUAAGGGGUUGCUAAACUCGU
Molecule: ribosomal RNA, 443 nt
Filed under: uncultured bacterium
Lineage: Bacteria
Description: bacterial SSU rRNA
Rfam family: Bacterial small subunit ribosomal RNA
Source: RNAcentral